This is a non-coding RNA of Parasteatoda tepidariorum (common house spider), 248 nucleotides long. Lineage: Eukaryota; Metazoa; Arthropoda; Arachnida; Araneae; Theridiidae. The record is from RefSeq and is a predicted model, not a curated record.
UGUAGUUACACACGUUUGAUAAGAGUAUAAAUAGAAAAUUGAUACCGAAUUUCUAUUACCUAACAGUUUACUGAGCCUUAAAAAUGUCUCCUUCAAUUUUUACAGUUUUUUCCGCCAUUCUUUUGUUAUCUUUCGUAACAGCUGCACCUGUUCCAGGUUCAAACAUCGAUGGUCUUGUUAAUAAAGCUCUAAAAAUAGCUGACAUCAUUGCUCAUAAAGCUGCACAGUUCGUAGAUGAAAAUACCAGU